Molecule: ribosomal RNA, 254 nt
Filed under: uncultured bacterium
Lineage: Bacteria
Description: partial 16S ribosomal RNA
Rfam family: Bacterial small subunit ribosomal RNA
Source: RNAcentral
UACGGGGGGAGCAAGCGUUGUUCGGAUUUACUGGGCGUAAAGGGCGCGUAGGCGGCCAGCACAAGUCAGUUGUGAAAUCUCCGGGCUUAACUCGGAAAGGUCAACUGAUACUGUGCGGCUAGAGUGCAGAAGGGGCAACUGGAAUUCUCGGUGUAGCGGUGAAAUGCGUAGAUAUCGAGAGGAACACCUGCGGCGAAGGCGGGUUGCUGGGCUGACACUGACGCUGAGGCGCGAAAGCCAGGGGAGCGAACGGG